RNAcentral lists this ribosomal RNA (2915 nucleotides) under Staphylococcus epidermidis. RNAcentral's name for it is "23S ribosomal RNA". It matches the Rfam family "Bacterial large subunit ribosomal RNA". The record is from RNAcentral. Lineage: Bacteria; Bacillati; Bacillota; Bacilli; Caryophanales; Staphylococcaceae.
AGAUUAAGUUAUUAAGGGCGCACGGUGGAUGCCUUGGCACUAGAAGCCGAUGAAGGACGUUACUAACGACGAUAUGCUUUGGGUAGCUGUAAGUAAGCGUUGAUCCAGAGAUUUCCGAAUGGGGGAACCCAACAUGAGUUAUGUCAUGUUAUCGACAUGUGAAUUCAUAGCAUGUCAGAAGGCAGACCCGGAGAACUGAAACAUCUUAGUACCCGGAGGAAGAGAAAGAAAAUCGAUUCCCUGAGUAGCGGCGAGCGAAACGGAAGAGCCCAAACCAACAAGCUUGCUUGUUGGGGUUGUAGGACACUCUAUACGGAGUUACAAAAGAACAUGUUAGACGAAUCAUCUGGAAAGAUGAAUCAAAGAAGGUAAUAAUCCUGUAGUCGAAAACAUAUUCUCUUGAGUGAUCCUGAGUACGACGGAGCACGUGAAAUUCCGUCGGAAUCUGGGAGGACCAUCUCCUAAGGCUAAAUACUCUCUAGUGACCGAUAGUGAACCAGUACCGUGAGGGAAAGGUGAAAAGUACCCCGGAAGGGGAGGAAAGAGAACUUGAAACCGUGUGCUUACAAGUAGUCAGAGCCCGUUAAUGGGUGAUGGCGUGCCUUUGUAGAAUGAACCGGCGAGUUACGCAUCUGAUGCAAGGUUAAGCAGCAAAUGUGGAGCCGCAGCGAAAGCGAGUCUGAAUAGGGCGUUGAGUAUUUGGUCGUAGACCCGAAACCAGGCGCAUCUACCCUUGGUCAGGUUGAGUUCAGGUAACACUGAAUGGAGGACCGAACCGACUUACGUUGAAAAGUGAGCGGAUGAACUGAGGGUAGCGGAGAAAUUCCAAUCGAACUUGGAGAUAGCUGGUUCUCUCCGAAAUAGCUUUAGGGCUAGCCUCAAGUGAUGAUUAUUGGAGGUAGAGCACUGUUUGGACGAGGGGCCCUCUCGGGUUACCGAAUUCAGACAAACUCCGAAUGCCAAUUAAUUUAACUUGGGAGUCAGAACAUGGGUGAUAAGGUCCGUGUUCGAAAGGGAAACAGCCCAGACCACCAGCUAAGGUCCCAAAAUAUAUGUUAAGUGGAAAAGGAUGUGGCGUUGCCCAGACAACUAGGGAUGUUGGCUUAGAAGCAGCCAUCAUUUAAAGAGUGCGUAAUAGCUCACUAGUCGAGUGACACUGCGCCGAAAAUGUACCGGGGCUAAACAUAUUACCGAAGCUGUGGAUUGUCCUUUGGACAAUGGUAGGAGAGCGUUCUAAGGGCGUCGAAGUACGAUCGCAAGGACAUGUGGAGCGCUUAGAAGUGAGAAUGCCGGUGUGAGUAGCGAAAGACGGGUGAGAAUCCCGUCCACCGAUUGACUAAGGUUUCCAGAGGAAGGCUCGUCCGCUCUGGGUUAGUCGGGUCCUGCUGAGGCCGACAGGCGUAGGCGAUGGAUAACAGGUUGAUAUUCCUGUACCACCUAGUAUCGUUUUAAUCGAUGGGGGACGCAGUAGGAUAGGCGAAGCGUGCUGUUGGAGUGCACGUCCAAGCAGUAAGGCUGAGUGUUAGGCAAAUCCGGCACUCAUAAGGCUGAGCUGUGAUGGGAGAGGAAAUUGUUUCCUCGAGUCGUUGAUUUCACACUGCCGAGAAAAGCCUCUAGAUAGAUAACAGGUGCCCGUACCGCAAACCGACACAGGUAGUCAAGAUGAGAAUUCUAAGGUGAGCGAGCGAACCUCGUUAAGGAACUCGGCAAAAUGACCCCGUAACUUCGGGAGAAGGGGUGCUCUUUAGGGUUCACGCCCAGAAGAGCCGCAGUGAAUAGGCCCAAGCGACUGUUUAUCAAAAACACAGGUCUCUGCUAAACCGUAAGGUGAUGUACAGGGGCUGACGCCUGCCCGGUGCUGGAAGGUUAAGAGGAGGGUUAGCUUCGCGAAGCUACGAAUCGAAGCCCCAGUAAACGGCGGCCGUAACUAUAACGGUCCUAAGGUAGCGAAAUUCCUUGUCGGGUAAGUUCCGACCCGCACGAAAGGCGUAACGAUUUGGGCACUGUCUCAACGAGAGACUCGGUGAAAUCAUAGUACCUGUGAAGAUGCAGGUUACCCGCGACAGGACGGAAAGACCCCGUGGAGCUUUACUGUAGCCUGAUAUUGAAAUUCGGCACAGCUUGUACAGGAUAGGUAGGAGCCUUUGAAACGUGAGCGCUAGCUUACGUGGAGGCGUUGUGGGAUACUACCCUAGCUGUGUUGGCUUUCUAACCCGCACCACUUAUCGUGGUGGGAGACAGUGUCAGGCGGGCAGUUUGACUGGGGCGGUCGCCUCCUAAAAGGUAACGGAGGCGCUCAAAGGUUCCCUCAGAAUGGUUGGAAAUCAUUCAUAGAGUGUAAAGGCAUAAGGGAGCUUGACUGCGAGACCUACAAGUCGAGCAGGGUCGAAAGACGGACUUAGCGAUCCGGUGGUUCCGCAUGGAAGGGCCAUCGCUCAACGGAUAAAAGCUACCCCGGGAUAACAGGUUUAUCUCCCCAAGAGUUCACAUCGACGGGGAGGUUUGGCACCUCGAUGUCGGCUCAUCGCAUCCUGGGGCUGUAGUCGGUCCCAAGGGUUGGGCUGUUCGCCCAUUAAAGCGGUACGCGAGCUGGGUUCAGAACGUCGUGAGACAGUUCGGUCCCUAUCCGUCGUGGGCGUAGGAAAUUUGAGAGGAGCUGUCCUUAGUACGAGAGGACCGGGAUGGACAUACCUCUGGUGUACCAGUUGUCGUGCCAACGGCAUAGCUGGGUAGCUAUGUAUGGACGGGAUAAGUGCUGAAAGCAUCUAAGCAUGAAGCCCCCCUCAAGAUGAGAUUUCCCAACUUCGGUUAUAAGAUCCCUCGAAGAUGACGAGGUUAAUAGGUUCGAGGUGGAAGUGUGGUGACACGUGGAGCUGACGAAUACUAAUCGAUCGAAGACUUAAUCAAUUUUUAAA